GACCGCAUAGCGCAGUGGAUUAGCGCGUCUGACUUCGGAUCAGAAGGUCGUGGGUUCGACUCCCACUGUGACUCCCACUGUGGUCG
Molecule: non-coding RNA, 86 nt
Organism: Brassica napus (rape)
Lineage: Eukaryota; Viridiplantae; Streptophyta; Magnoliopsida; Brassicales; Brassicaceae
Source: the annotation of a RefSeq genome assembly